Corticium candelabrum is the source of this 899-nucleotide long non-coding RNA. RefSeq lists it as uncharacterized. The transcript has 2 exons. The record is from RefSeq and is a predicted model, not a curated record. NCBI's taxonomy places the organism in Eukaryota, Metazoa, Porifera, Homoscleromorpha, Homosclerophorida, Plakinidae.
GCGCCAUGGAAUGCUGGGGUUGGUAGAACCAAGACAUCAAAGGAACCUCACCAGACCCUCUCCCCACCAACGGAAGUCAAAAAGGGGAUGGGCUGGCUGCGCGAGACUAAACUCCACCCAGAGUCAUGAGCUAGCGCGCUUUGUAGCUACGGGCGGAGUUAUCUGCGCAAACUAUACUUGGCACUGCAAGCGUGUUGCGGUCAUUGUAACCAUUGCAAGCGUCGGCGCUUCAGAAAAUUUGUUGUCCCUUGCCCUCCCACUCAUAUCUCCGUUGCUAUUCCAACGUGAAAGACCGAGGGUCGGAGUCUCGGUCUGAUGACCGUCUCCUGCAGCACGGUAUGGUUGACGCAUGCGUAUACUUGAGCUCGGAUCCUCGCGUUGGGGCCAGACUUAAGUCUGGCGAAGUUCGUCUGGUGAAGGUAUCUGACGGCGAAGUUACUUGGUGAUAUAUAAGACUAAAAAGAUCCGACGAAGUCUAGAAAGAUGGCUGGUUGAGGCUGGAAGCAACAACAGGGGAUGUUGCGGUUGGCAGCGGUUAGCAAUUGGCGUGAGCAGUCGAAGCUAUGUCUACGGUUAGGUGGCUACCGGUACUUCUACGCGAAAUGACGAUGAUGAACUUUUUACGCCCAUCGUGGCACGGAAAACCUCCAGGAACCUCGCUAUACGGUUGGGUGGCUACCGGUACUUCUACGCCAAAUGACGAUGAUGAACUUUUACGCCCAUCGUGGCACGGAAAACCUCCAGGAACCUUGCUUAGAAUGUACAGGUAUUACCUAGUCUUCUAGUAAUCUAGCUAGACAAGUACGUAUGUAUACAAGAAUUGUUUAAAGUCAGAAUUUCAGAGUAGGAUGUCAGUACCUAGAAACUGACACUGAAGUGCAUUGGUUACCUACAUUGAA